UGCUGCUGGAUCAUUACUCACCGUGAU
Molecule: ribosomal RNA, 27 nt
Filed under: Tylenchorhynchus zeae
Lineage: Eukaryota; Metazoa; Nematoda; Chromadorea; Rhabditida; Telotylenchidae
Description: partial 18S ribosomal RNA
Source: RNAcentral